CCUACGAGUGGCAGCAGUGAGGAAUAUUGGUCAAUGGGCGCGAGCCUGAACCAGCCAAGUCGCGUGAGGGAGGACGGCCCUACGGGUUGUAAACCUCUUUUGCCGGGGAGCAACGGGCGCCACGUGUGGCGUCACUGAGAGUACCAGGAGAAAAAGCAUCGGCUAACUCAGUGCCAGCAGCCGAGGUAAUACGUAGGAUGCGAGCGUUAUCCGGAUGUAUUGGGUUUAAAGGGUGCGUCGGGGGAUCGGUAAGUCAGUGGUCAAAUUGAGGGGCUCAACCCCUUCCCGCCAUUGAAACUGGCGUUCUUGAGUGGAAGAGAAGUAUGCGGAAUGCGUGGUGUAGCGGUGAAAUGCAUAGAUAUCACGCAGAACCCCGAUUGCGAAGGCAGCAUGCCGGCUUCCGACUGACGCUGAAGCACGAAAGCGUGGGGAUCGAACAGGAUUAGAUACCCUUGUAGUC
Molecule: ribosomal RNA, 460 nt
Filed under: uncultured bacterium
Lineage: Bacteria
Description: partial 16S ribosomal RNA
Rfam family: Bacterial small subunit ribosomal RNA
Source: RNAcentral